GACGAACGCUGGCGGCGUGCUUAACACAUGCAAGUCGAACGGAAAGGCCCUGCUUUUGUGGGGUGCUCGAGGGGCGAACGGGUGAGUAACACGUGAGUAACCUGCCCUAGACUUUGGGAUAACUUCAGGAAACUGGGGCUAAUACCGGAUAGGAGCUCCUGCUGCAUGGUGGGGGGUGGAAAGUUUCGGCGGUUGGGGAUGGACUCGCGGCUUAUCAGCUUGUUGGUGGGGUAGUGGCUUACCAAGGCUUUGACGGGUAGCCGGCCUGAGAGGGUGACCGGCCACAUUGGGACUGCGAUACGGCCCAGACUCCUACGGGAGGCAGCAGUGGGGAAUAUUGCACAAUGGGCGGAAGCCUGAUGCAGCAACGCCGCGUGCGGGAUGACGGCCUUCGGGUUGUAAACCGCUUUCGCCUGUGACGAAGCGUGAGUGACGGUAAUGGGUAAAGAAGCACCGGCUAACUACGUG
RNAcentral lists this ribosomal RNA (468 nucleotides) under uncultured bacterium. Its description in RNAcentral is "partial 16S ribosomal RNA". It matches the Rfam family "Bacterial small subunit ribosomal RNA", at positions 28 to 507 of the family's 1533-position model. The record is from RNAcentral.